GUUCACAGAGCGCAGCGAGUGGAACGAAUGGGUGCCGGCGUCCUCAGACGCUCGCGGAAAUCAAAUGAUAAAGCGGGAGGGGCCCCCGCCCCAGCCUGGCGGCCGACGCCCACUCCUCCCUGAAAGAAUCUAGCAGAGUACUCUGAGGCCCUGGAUGAUAGCAGAGACAUUAAGUGGAGAGAAUCUGCCCCUGGAUGGGAAGACCACCCUUUACCACCUAUUAAUGAGCUAUGAGAUGAGCAGUUCUGUGCUGGCGCAAGGCCCCGCACUGCAAGUCUGGGACGAUGAGAACGAAGACGCAUAAGGAAAAUGGGGUGGGUUCCGGGAAGGGCUGGCGGACA
Molecule: long non-coding RNA, 341 nt
Organism: Ailuropoda melanoleuca (giant panda)
Lineage: Eukaryota; Metazoa; Chordata; Mammalia; Carnivora; Ursidae
Exons: 3
Source: RefSeq, a predicted model, not a curated record